CCCUUAGAUGUUCUGGGCCGCACGCGUGCUACACUGAUGCAUUCAACGAGUCUAAAACCUGCUCUGAUAGGGGUGGGUAAUCUUUUGAAUGUGCAUCGUGAUUGGGAUAGAUGAUUGCAAUUUUUCAUCUUCAACGAGGAAUGCCUAGUAAACGCAAGUCAUCAGCUUGCAUUGAUUACGUCCCCGCCCUUUGUACACACCGCCCGUCGCUCCUACCGAUUGAAUGAUCCGAUGAAUAUCAUGGAUUGAGGAUGCAAGUAGGUUCGCCUAUCUUCAUCUUCGAGAAGUGAAGUAAAUCUUAUCAUUUAGAGGAAGGAGAAGUCGUAACA
RNAcentral lists this ribosomal RNA (329 nucleotides) under uncultured eukaryote. RNAcentral's name for it is "partial 18S ribosomal RNA". It matches the Rfam family "Eukaryotic small subunit ribosomal RNA", at positions 1470 to 1796 of the family's 1831-position model. The record is from RNAcentral.